CGGCCGCGAUUCGCCCUUAGAGUUUGAUCCUGGCUCAGGAUGAACGCUAGCGACAGGCUUAACACAUGCAAGUCGAGGGGCAGCAUGAUUUGUAGCAAUACAGAUUGAUGGCGACCGGCGCACGGGUGAGUAACGCGUAUGCAACUUACCUAUCAGAGGGGGAUAGCCCGGCGAAAGUCGGAUUAAUACCCCAUAAAACAGGGGUCCCGCAUGGGAAUAUUUGUUAAAGAUUCAUCGCUGAUAGAUAGGCAUGCGUUCCAUUAGGCAGUUGGCGGGGUAACGGCCCACCAAACCGACGAUGGAUAGGGGUUCUGAGAGGAAGGUCCCCCCACAUUGGUACUGAGACACGGACCAAACUCCUACGGGAGGCAGCAGUGAGGAAUAUUGGUCAAUGGCCGAGAGGCUGAACCAGCCAAGUCGCGUGAAGGAAGAAGGAUCUAUGGUUUGUAAACUUCUUUUAUAGGGGAAUAAAGUGGAGGACGUGUCCUUUUUUGUAUGUACCCUAUGAAUAAGCAUCGGCUAACUCCGUGCCAGCAGCCGCGGUAAUACGGAGGAUGCGAGCGUUAUCCGGAUUUAUUGGGUUUAAAGGGUGCGUAGGUGGUGAUUUAAGUCAGCGGUGAAAGUUUGUGGCUCAACCAUAAAAUUGCCGUUGAAACUGGGUUACUUGAGUGUGUUUGAGGUAGGCGGAAUGCGUGGUGUAGCGGUGAAAUGCAUAGAUAUCACGCAGAACUCCGAUUGCGAAGGCAGCUUACUAAACCAUAACUGACACUGAAGCACGAAAGCGUGGGGAUCAAACAGGAUUAGAUACCCUGGUAGUCCACGCAGUAAACGAUGAUUACUAGGAGUUUGCGAUACAAUGUAAGCUCUACAGCGAAAGCGUUAAGUAAUCCACCUGGGGAGUACGCCGGCAACGGUGAAACUCAAAUGAAUUGACGG
This 936-nucleotide ribosomal RNA is filed under the name uncultured bacterium. RNAcentral describes it as "bacterial SSU rRNA". It matches the Rfam family "Bacterial small subunit ribosomal RNA", at positions 1 to 916 of the family's 1533-position model. The record is from RNAcentral.